This 59-nucleotide microRNA precursor is filed under the name Tribolium castaneum (red flour beetle). RNAcentral describes it as "Tca-Mir-3851-P6_pre stem-loop". Lineage: Eukaryota; Metazoa; Arthropoda; Insecta; Coleoptera; Tenebrionidae. The record is from RNAcentral.
UGUUGGCAUAAGUAGUACCAUGAAAAAUUUGAAUCUAUAGUACGACCCAUGCCGACUCA